AUGCAUAGAUAAUGUGCCCUUAGUUCGGGAUAGCCACUGGAAACGGUGAUUAAUACCGGAUACUCCUUCUUGUUAUAAGACAAGUCGGGAAAGUUUUUCGCUAAGGGAUCAGUCUAUGUUCCAUCAGCUUGUUGGUGAGGUAAUGGCUCACCAAGGCUAUGACGGAUAUCUGGUUUGAGAGGAUGAUCAGACACACUGGAACUGAGACACGGUCCAGACUCCUACGGGAGGCAGCAGUGAGGAAUAUUGCACAAUGGAGGAAACUCUGAUGCAGCAACGCCGCGUGGAGGAUGACGCAUUUCGGUGUGUAAACUCCUUUUAUUAGGGAAGAUAAUGACGGUACCUAAUGAAUAAGCACCGGCUAACUCCGUGCCAGCAGCCGCGGUAAUACGGAGGGUGCAAGCGUUACUCGGAAUCACUGGGCGUAAAGGGUGCGUAGGCUGGCUUUUAAGUCAGAUGUGAAAUCCAAUGGCUCAACCAUUGAACUGCAUUUGAAACUGAAAGCCUAGAGUUCAGAAGGGGCAGAUGGAAUUAGUGGUGUAGGGGUAAAAUCCGUAGAUAUCACUAGGAAUAUCAAAAGCGAAGGCGAUCUGCUGGGAU
RNAcentral lists this ribosomal RNA (600 nucleotides) under uncultured bacterium. Its description in RNAcentral is "bacterial SSU rRNA". It matches the Rfam family "Bacterial small subunit ribosomal RNA", at positions 113 to 735 of the family's 1533-position model. The record is from RNAcentral.